CUGCACAUCCAAAUGGUACAAGGACAGGAUGCGAUGGAUACACAGACAUCUAUCUAGAGGUCAAAAAUAACUACUUCCAGAGGCCUGAAAAUGGUCGAUCCAUUUUCUUCAGCAAGAACUGAAAACUGGAUAUUUUCUCAGACCCUAGGAAACCAGCACUAAAUGUUACAGAUGAGGUGUGAGACGCAAGGGAAGCUGAUGAAGCCUCCAGCAGAAGUGCUCCAUUGGAUCAGAAGUUUUUCAUGGAGAUGAUAAGGCAUGCAUCUAUGGAAGAGAGACACUGG
RNAcentral lists this long non-coding RNA (284 nucleotides) under Pogona vitticeps (central bearded dragon). RNAcentral's name for it is "lncRNA (ENSPVIG00000022001.1)". The record is from RNAcentral. Lineage: Eukaryota; Metazoa; Chordata; Lepidosauria; Squamata; Agamidae.